This 2895-nucleotide ribosomal RNA is filed under the name Escherichia coli O157:H7. RNAcentral's name for it is "bacterial LSU rRNA". It matches the Rfam family "Bacterial large subunit ribosomal RNA". Lineage: Bacteria; Pseudomonadati; Pseudomonadota; Gammaproteobacteria; Enterobacterales; Enterobacteriaceae. The record is from RNAcentral.
UUAAGCGACUAAGCGUACACGGUGGAUGCCCUGGCAGUCAGAGGCGAUGAAGGACGUGCUAAUCUGCGAUAAGCGUCGGUAAGGUGAUAUGAACCGUUAUAACCGGCGAUUUCCGAAUGGGGAAACCCAGUGUGAUUCGUCACACUAUCAUUAACUGAAUCCAUAGGUUAAUGAGGCGAACCGGGGAACUGAAACAUCUAAGUACCCGAGGAAAAGAAAUCAACCGAGAUUCCCCAGUAGCGGCGAGCGAACGGGGAGCAGCCCAGAGCCUGAAUCAGUGUGUGUGUUAGUGGAAGCGUCUGGAAAGGCGCGCGAUACAGGGUGACAGCCCCGUACACAAAAAUGCACAUACUGUGAGCUCGAUGAGUAGGGCGGGACACGUGGUAUCCUGUCUGAAUAUGGGGGACCAUCCUCCAAGGCUAAAUACUCCUGACUGACCGAUAGUGAACCAGUACCGUGAGGGAAAGGCGAAAAGAACCCCGGCGAGGGGAGUGAAAAAGAACCUGAAACCGUGUACGUACAAGCAGUGGGAGCCUCUUUUAUGGGGUGACUGCGUACCUUUUGUAUAAUGGGUCAGCGACUUAUAUUCUGUAGCAAGGUUAACCGAAUAGGGGAGCCGAAGGGAAACCGAGUCUUAACUGGGCGUUAAGUUGCAGGGUAUAGACCCGAAACCCGGUGAUCUAGCCAUGGGCAGGUUGAAGGUUGGGUAACACUAACUGGAGGACCGAACCGACUAAUGUUGAAAAAUUAGCGGAUGACUUGUGGCUGGGGGUGAAAGGCCAAUCAAACCGGGAGAUAGCUGGUUCUCCCCGAAAGCUAUUUAGGUAGCGCCUCGUGAAUUCAUCUCCGGGGGUAGAGCACUGUUUCGGCAAGGGGGUCAUCCCGACUUACCAACCCGAUGCAAACUGCGAAUACCGGAGAAUGUUAUCACGGGAGACACACGGCGGGUGCUAACGUCCGUCGUGAAGAGGGAAACAACCCAGACCGCCAGCUAAGGUCCCAAAGUCAUGGUUAAGUGGGAAACGAUGUGGGAAGGCCCAGACAGCCAGGAUGUUGGCUUAGAAGCAGCCAUCAUUUAAAGAAAGCGUAAUAGCUCACUGGUCGAGUCGGCCUGCGCGGAAGAUGUAACGGGGCUAAACCAUGCACCGAAGCUGCGGCAGCGACACUGUGUGUUGUUGGGUAGGGGAGCGUUCUGUAAGCCUGUGAAGGUGUGCUGUGAGGCAUGCUGGAGGUAUCAGAAGUGCGAAUGCUGACAUAAGUAACGAUAAAGCGGGUGAAAAGCCCGCUCGCCGGAAGACCAAGGGUUCCUGUCCAACGUUAAUCGGGGCAGGGUGAGUCGACCCCUAAGGCGAGGCCGAAAGGCGUAGUCGAUGGGAAACAGGUUAAUAUUCCUGUACUUGGUGUUACUGCGAAGGGGGACGGAGAAGGCUAUGUUGGCCGGGCGACGGUUGUCCCGGUUUAAGCGUGUAGGCUGGUUUUCCAGGCAAAUCCGGAAAAUCAAGGCUGAGGCGUGAUGACGAGGCACUACGGUGCUGAAGCAACAAAUGCCCUGCUUCCAGGAAAAGCCUCUAAGCAUCAGGUAACAUCAAAUCGUACCCCAAACCGACACAGGUGGUCAGGUAGAGAAUACCAAGGCGCUUGAGAGAACUCGGGUGAAGGAACUAGGCAAAAUGGUGCCGUAACUUCGGGAGAAGGCACGCUGAUAUGUAGGUGAAGUCCCUCGCGGAUGGAGCUGAAAUCAGUCGAAGAUACCAGCUGGCUGCAACUGUUUAUUAAAAACACAGCACUGUGCAAACACGAAAGUGGACGUAUACGGUGUGACGCCUGCCCGGUGCCGGAAGGUUAAUUGAUGGGGUCAGCGCAAGCGAAGCUCUUGAUCGAAGCCCCGGUAAACGGCGGCCGUAACUAUAACGGUCCUAAGGUAGCGAAAUUCCUUGUCGGGUAAGUUCCGACCUGCACGAAUGGCGUAAUGAUGGCCAGGCUGUCUCCACCCGAGACUCAGUGAAAUUGAACUCGCUGUGAAGAUGCAGUGUACCCGCGGCAAGACGGAAAGACCCCGUGAACCUUUACUAUAGCUUGACACUGAACAUUGAGCCUUGAUGUGUAGGAUAGGUGGGAGGCUUUGAAGUGUGGACGCCAGUCUGCAUGGAGCCGACCUUGAAAUACCACCCUUUAAUGUUUGAUGUUCUAACGUGGACCCGUGAUCCGGGUUGCGGACAGUGUCUGGUGGGUAGUUUGACUGGGGCGGUCUCCUCCUAAAGAGUAACGGAGGAGCACGAAGGUUGGCUAAUCCUGGUCGGACAUCAGGAGGUUAGUGCAAUGGCAUAAGCCAGCUUGACUGCGAGCGUGACGGCGCGAGCAGGUGCGAAAGCAGGUCAUAGUGAUCCGGUGGUUCUGAAUGGAAGGGCCAUCGCUCAACGGAUAAAAGGUACUCCGGGGAUAACAGGCUGAUACCGCCCAAGAGUUCAUAUCGACGGCGGUGUUUGGCACCUCGAUGUCGGCUCAUCACAUCCUGGGGCUGAAGUAGGUCCCAAGGGUAUGGCUGUUCGCCAUUUAAAGUGGUACGCGAGCUGGGUUUAGAACGUCGUGAGACAGUUCGGUCCCUAUCUGCCGUGGGCGCUGGAGAACUGAGGGGGGCUGCUCCUAGUACGAGAGGACCGGAGUGGACGCAUCACUGGUGUUCGGGUUGUCAUGCCAAUGGCACUGCCCGGUAGCUAAAUGCGGAAGAGAUAAGUGCUGAAAGCAUCUAAGCACGAAACUUGCCCCGAGAUGAGUUCUCCCUGACCCUUUAAGGGUCCUGAAGGAACGUUGAAGACGACGACGUUGAUAGGCCGGGUGUGUAAGCGCAGCGAUGCGUUGAGCUAACCGGUACUAAUGAACCGUGAGGCUUAACCU